This 501-nucleotide ribosomal RNA is filed under the name uncultured bacterium. RNAcentral's name for it is "bacterial SSU rRNA". It matches the Rfam family "Bacterial small subunit ribosomal RNA", at positions 24 to 518 of the family's 1533-position model. The record is from RNAcentral.
UCAGGAUGAACGCUAGCUACAGGCUUAACACAUGCAAGUCGAGGGGCAGCAUAAUCGAAGCUGCUUGAUUGAUGGCGACCGGCGCACGGGUGAGUAACGCGUAUCCAACCUUCCCCUUAGUAGGGCAUAGCCCGGCGAAAGUCGGAUUAAUACCCUAUGUUAUCCGUCGAGGACAUCUGAAGUGGAUUAAAGAUUUAUCGCUAAGGGAUGGGGAUGCGUCUGAUUAGGUUGUUGGCGGGUAACGGCCCACCAAGCCUACGAUCAGUAGGGUUCUGAGAGGAAGGUCCCCCACAUUGGUACUGAGACACGGACCAAACUCCUACGGGAGGCAGCAGUGAGGAAUAUUGGUCAAUGGGCGAGAGCCUGAACCAGCCAAGUAGCGUGCAGGAUGACGGCCCUAUGGGUUGUAAACUGCUUUUGCAUGGGAAUAAAGUCGGGGACGUGUCCCCGUUUGUAUGUACCAUGAGAAUAAGGACCGGCUAAUUCCGUGCCAGCAGCGGC